RNAcentral lists this ribosomal RNA (524 nucleotides) under uncultured Hanseniaspora. RNAcentral's name for it is "eukaryotic LSU rRNA". It matches the Rfam family "Eukaryotic large subunit ribosomal RNA", at positions 62 to 588 of the family's 3401-position model. The record is from RNAcentral. Lineage: Eukaryota; Fungi; Ascomycota; Saccharomycetes; Saccharomycodales; Saccharomycodaceae.
AAACCAACUGGGAUUACCUUAGUAACGGCGAGUGAAGCGGUAAAAGCUCAAAUUUGAAAUCUGGUACUUUCAGUGCCCGAGUUGUAAUUUGUAGAAUUUGUCUUUGAUUAGGUCCUUGUCUAUGUUCCUUGGAACAGGACGUCAUAGAGGGUGAGAAUCCCGUUUGGCGAGGAUACCUUUUCUCUGUAAGACUUUUUCGAAGAGUCGAGUUGUUUGGGAAUGCAGCUCAAAGUGGGUGGUAAAUUCCAUCUAAAGCUAAAUAUUGGCGAGAGACCGAUAGCGAACAAGUACAGUGAUGGAAAGAUGAAAAGAACUUUGAAAAGAGAGUGAAAAAGUACGUGAAAUUGUUGAAAGGGAAGGGCAUUUGAUCAGACAUGGUGUUUUUUGCAUGCACUCGCCUCUCGUGGGCUUGGGCCUCUCAAAAUUUCACUGGGCCAACAUCAAUUCUGGCAGCAGGAUAAAUCAUUAAGAAUGUAGCUACUUCGGUAGUGUUAUAGCUUUUUGGAAUACUGUUAGCCGGGAUU